AGGAACAGGAUUAUUUAAACCCGGAGCCUUCAAAGCCCCUAAAAAGAGAUUACCUCUUAGCUCCUG
Molecule: transfer RNA, 66 nt
Filed under: Trioceros deremensis
Lineage: Eukaryota; Metazoa; Chordata; Lepidosauria; Squamata; Chamaeleonidae
Description: transfer RNA-Trp
Source: RNAcentral